GACGAACGCUGGCGGCGUGCUUAACACAUGCAAGUCGAACGGUGACGAGGAGCUUGCUCCUCUGAUCAGUGGCGAACGGGUGAGUAACACGUGAGCAACCUGCCCCAGACUCUGGGAUAACAGUUGGAAACAGCUGCUAAUACCGGAUACGAGACGGAGAGGCAUCUCUACCGUCUGGAAAGUUUUUCGGUCUGGGAUGGACUCGCGGCCUAUCAGCUAGUUGGUGAGGUAAUGGCUCACCAAGGCGACGACGGGUAGCCGGCCUGAGAGGGCGACCGGCCACACUGGGACUGAGACACGGCCCAGACUCCUACGGGAGGCAGCAGUGGGGAAUAUUGCACAAUGGGCGAAAGCCUGAUGCAGCGACGCCGCGUGAGGGAUGACGGCCUCGGUUGUAACCGUACUUCUAGCGACGGAGAAGACGAAAGUAGACGGUACCGUCGCAGAAGAAGACACCGGACCGUAACGUAACGUACGCCGACGCGAGCCGCGGUAAACGACGACG
RNAcentral lists this ribosomal RNA (505 nucleotides) under uncultured bacterium. Its description in RNAcentral is "bacterial SSU rRNA". It matches the Rfam family "Bacterial small subunit ribosomal RNA", at positions 35 to 539 of the family's 1533-position model. The record is from RNAcentral.